AGAGUUUGAUCAUGGCUCAGAACGAACGCUGGCGGCGUGCCUAACACAUGCAAGUCGAACGAGAAAGCCUUCGGGCAAGUAAAGUGGCGCACGGGUGAGUAACGCGUGGGUAAUCUGCCCUUCAGUCUGGGAUAACAACUCUAACGAGCUGCUAAUACCAGAUACGACAUCAACCUCUGCGGAGGAUGAUGGGAAAGAAUUUCGCUGAAGGAUGAGCCCGCGUAUCAUUAGGUAGUUGGUGGGGUAAUGGCCUACCAAGCCCGAGAUGAUUAGCUGGUCUGAGAGGACGAUCAGCCACACUGGGACUGAGACACGGCCCAGACUCCUACGGGAGGCAGCAGUGGGGAAUAUUGCGCAAUGGGGGGAACCCUGACGCAGCAACGCCGCGUGAGUGAAGAAGGUCUUCGGAUUGUAAAGCUCUGUUAAGAUAGGAAGAAUAGCCUUCGGGUUCGACGGUACUAUCUCAGGAAGCACCGGCUAACUCCGUGCCAGCAGCCGCGGUAAUACGGAGGGUGCAAGCGUUGUUCGGAAUUAUUGGGCGUAAAGCGUGCGUAGGCGGAUUAUUAAGUCUGGUGUGAAAUCCCUCGGCUCAACCGAGGACGUGCAUUGGAUACUGGUAGUCUUGAGUCCUGGAGAGGAGAGCGGAAUUCCUAGUGUAGAGGUGAAAUUCGUAGAUAUUAGGAGGAACACCAGCGGCGAAAGCGGCUCUCUGGACAGUGACUGACGCUGAGGCACGAAAGCAUAGGUAGCAAACAGGAUUAGAUACCCUGGUAGUCUAUGCCGUAAACGAUGGGUACUAGUCGGUGCGGGUAUUGACCCCUGCGCUGACGAAGCUAACGCAUUAAGUACCCCGCCUGGGGAGUAC
RNAcentral lists this ribosomal RNA (865 nucleotides) under uncultured marine microorganism. RNAcentral describes it as "bacterial SSU rRNA". It matches the Rfam family "Bacterial small subunit ribosomal RNA", at positions 8 to 883 of the family's 1533-position model. The record is from RNAcentral.